Molecule: ribosomal RNA, 253 nt
Filed under: uncultured bacterium
Lineage: Bacteria
Description: partial 16S ribosomal RNA
Rfam family: Bacterial small subunit ribosomal RNA
Source: RNAcentral
UACGUAGGGGGCAAGCGUUGUCCGGAAUCAUUGGGCGUAAAGCGCGUGUAGGCGGUUCGGUAAGUCUGCUGUGAAAGUCCAGGGCUCAACCCUGGGAUGCCGGUGGAUACUGUCGGACUAGAGGUAGGUAGGGGAGAAUGGAAUUCCCGGUGUAGCGGUGAAAUGCGCAGAUAUCGGGAGGAACACCGGUGGCGAAGGCGGUUCUCUGGGCCUUACCUGACGCUGAGGAGCGAAAGCGUGGGGAGCGAACAGG